AACGCAUUAAGUUCCCCGCCUGGGGAGUACGGCCGCAAGGCUAAAACUCAAAGGAAUUGACGGGGACCCGCACAAGCGGCGGAGCAUGCGGAUUAAUUCGAUGCAACGCGAAGAACCUUACCAAGGCUUGACAUAUAGAGGAAACGUCUGGAAACAGUCGCCCCGCAAGGUCUCUAUACAGGUGGUGCAUGGUUGUCGUCAGCUCGUGUCGUGAGAUGUUGGGUUAAGUCCCGCAACGAGCGCAACCCUCGUUCUAUGUUGCCAGCACGUAAUGGUGGGAACUCAUGGGAUACUGCCGGGGUCAACUCGGAGGAAGGUGGGGAUGACGUCAAAUCAUCAUGCCCCUUAUGUCUUGGGCUUCACGCAUGCUACAAUGGCCGGUACAAAGUGCUGCAAUACCGUAAGGUGGAGCGAAUCCCAAAAAGCCGGUCCCAGUUCGGAUUGAGGUCUGCAACUCGACCUCAUGAAGUCGGAGUCGCUAGUAAUCGCAGAUCAGCAACGCUGCGGUGAAUACGUUCCCGGGUCUUGUACACACCGCCCGUCAAGUCAUGAAAGUCGGUAACACCUGAAGCCGGUGGCCCAACCCUUGUGGAGGGAGCCGUCGAAGGUGGGAUCGG
RNAcentral lists this ribosomal RNA (617 nucleotides) under Microbacterium sp. mat870. RNAcentral describes it as "bacterial SSU rRNA". It matches the Rfam family "Bacterial small subunit ribosomal RNA", at positions 854 to 1471 of the family's 1533-position model. Lineage: Bacteria; Bacillati; Actinomycetota; Actinomycetes; Micrococcales; Microbacteriaceae. The record is from RNAcentral.